Molecule: ribosomal RNA, 369 nt
Filed under: Triticum aestivum (bread wheat)
Lineage: Eukaryota; Viridiplantae; Streptophyta; Magnoliopsida; Poales; Poaceae
Description: partial small subunit ribosomal RNA
Source: RNAcentral
AUGGAUCCCGAUUCGGUGUCGAAGGCGUUCGUGCAGCACUACUACCAGACGUUCGACUCCAACCGCGCCGCGCUGGUGGGGCUGUACCAGGACGGCUCCAUGCUCACCUUCGAGGGCGAGAAGUUCGGCGGCCCCGCCGCCAUCGCCGGCAAGCUCGGAUCUCUCCCCUUCCAGCAGUGCCAGCACAAGAUCGACACCGUCGACUGCCAGCCCUCGGGGCCCCAGGGCGGCGUCCUCGUCUUCGUCUCCGGCACCAUCACCACCGGCCCCGGCGAGCACCCCCUCAAGUUCUCACAGAUGUUCCAUUUGCUGCCAGCUGGAGGGAGCUUCUACGUGCAGAACGACAUGUUCCGCCUGAACUAUGGUUAA